AUCAAUCAAUCAAGGGAGAGAGCAUGGCAAAGCUCUUCUGGGAGGGUAUUCCAAAGUCGAGGGGCCACAAUCGAGAAGGCUCUGUUGCUUGUCUCACCAACCAAAUCUCAGCCAGUGAUGGGAUUCAGACAGGUCUGGAGAUGAACGAAGGGCCCUGGAAGAUUCGUAGAGGCGAAUGCAGUCCAGCAGAUACCCCGGCCCCAAGCCAUGUAGGUCCUUAAAUGUUAUAUAAGGGCGUCUGCAUAUGUAUCUCUAACAUAUGGUAUUCAAAGGCCGAGAGGAAGAAGAGAGAGAUUUGGAUGAGUGCCCUGCUGGAUGGACAACAAAGAUGAGAACUAGAUCUCUCUCUCUCUCCCUAAGAUUUGAAAAAUACCUUGGCCUGCGCUGCCGCUGGCAUCGGGCCAGUUUGCCAACUGUAGCUUUGAAGGAUUUGGACCUGGGCGGCCUCUCCAAGGCUAUUUUUAGUGGCAGAGGAGAGGCUGCAUCUGAAAAUAGCUGGGCCUCCUUGCUUGCCAGUCAGCGGUUUUGGCAUUGUGUAGGAAGCUCUCUUCCUACUGUUGGCUGCGUUCUGCGUACAAACAAGGCCAUUCUUGCUGCUCGCUGUGCAGAGUUUCAGCAAACUGCUCUUUGAGAGAUCACGGCGUGCAACUGAAAACCCUUUUUUAAAUCCCUGGACGUGGAUCGCAGAUCUCUGUGUGACCUGGGGCAGACGCUUUCUAGUCUGUGCUACACCAGCCAGUGCUACUGCUCUUUAAAUCCCCCUUCUAUCUUUUCUGUGCAUUUUAUUAUGGGAAAGUGUGUUUAGCAGUUUUAGUUUUUUAGUAGCUUGUUUCCUUUUAGUAGCUUGUCUCGUUUUAAAUUGUAAUUAUUUUAAAUGCUAGCCUUUUCACAAUAGCUAUCAUCAUAUUUGCAAUCACCUCUAUCAACAUGUAACUUUUCUCCAGUAUUACCUUCAUUUAAUGUGUAAUUUUAUGCUGGUCUCUGACCAUAAUAAAGCUUGAUUCUGAUUCC
Hemicordylus capensis (graceful crag lizard) is the source of this 1011-nucleotide long non-coding RNA. RefSeq lists it as uncharacterized. The transcript has 2 exons. NCBI's taxonomy places the organism in Eukaryota, Metazoa, Chordata, Lepidosauria, Squamata, Cordylidae. The record is from RefSeq and is a predicted model, not a curated record.